This is a ribosomal RNA of Rhizophagus irregularis DAOM 197198w, 306 nucleotides long. It matches the Rfam family "Eukaryotic large subunit ribosomal RNA", at positions 1 to 303 of the family's 3401-position model. The record is from Rfam. NCBI's taxonomy places the organism in Eukaryota, Fungi, Glomeromycota, Glomeromycetes, Glomerales, Glomeraceae.
UGACCUCAAAUCAGGUAGGAACACCCGCUGAACUUAAGCAUAUCAAUAAGCGGAGGAAAAGAAAAUAACAAUGAUUCCCCUAGUAACUGCGAGUGAAGAGGGACAAGCUCAAAUUUUAAAUCCAUCGGGUUUUACCCGAUCGAGUUGUAAUUUGAAGAGGCGUUUUCUGUGUUUCUGAUCAGUCCAAGUCCUUUGGGAUAAGGCAUCAUGGAGGGUGAGAAUCCCGUCCGGUUGAUCAGAUUCGCUUUACGAUACGCUUUCUAAGAGUCAAGUUGUUUGGGAUUGCAGCUUAAAAUGGGAGGUAAA